GAUGAACGCUGGCGGCGUGCCUAAUACAUGCAAGUCGAGCGGAAAGGCCCUUCGGGGUACUCGAGCGGCGGACGGGUGAGUAACGCGUAAGAAUGUACCCCAAAGUGAGGAAUAACUGCUCGAAAGAGUAGCUAAUGCCGCUUGUGCUCUUCGGAGGAAAGCUUUAUGCGCUUCGGGAACAGCUUGCGUCUGAUUAGCUAGUUGGUAAGGUAACGGCUUACCAAGGCGACGAUCAGUAGCUGGUCUGGGAGGAUGAUCAGCCACACUGGGACUGAGACGCGGCCCAGACUCCUACGGGAGGCAGCAGUAGGGAAUUUUCCACAAUGGACGAGAGUCUGAUGGAGCAACGCCGCGUGCUGGAUGAAGGCCUUCGGGUCGUAAACAGCUUUUGUCUGUGACGAAUAUGACGGUAGCAGACGAAUAAGGAUCAGCUAACUACGUGCCAGCCGCCGCGGUAA
RNAcentral lists this ribosomal RNA (458 nucleotides) under uncultured bacterium. RNAcentral's name for it is "partial 16S ribosomal RNA". It matches the Rfam family "Bacterial small subunit ribosomal RNA", at positions 28 to 523 of the family's 1533-position model. The record is from RNAcentral.